UUUUGGACAAUGGGGGCAACCCUGAUCCAGCCAUGCCGCGUGAGUGAAGAAGGCCUUCGGGUUGUAAAGCCCUUUCGGCGGGGAAGAUAAUGACGGUACCCGCAGAAGAAGCCCCGGCUAACUUCGUGCCAGCAGCCGCGGUAAUACGAAGGGGGCUAGCGUUGCUCGGAAUCACUGGGCGUAAAGCGCACGUAGGCGGCUUUCUAAGUCAGGGGUGAAAUCCUGGAGCUCAACUCCAGAACUGCCUUUGAUACUGGGAAGCUUGAGUUCGGGAGAGGUGAGUGGAACUGCGAGUGUAGAGGUGAAAUUCGUAGAUAUUCGCAAGAACACCAGUGGCGAAGGCGGCUCACUGGCCCGAUACUGACGCUGAGUGCGAAA
RNAcentral lists this ribosomal RNA (378 nucleotides) under uncultured bacterium. RNAcentral's name for it is "bacterial SSU rRNA". It matches the Rfam family "Bacterial small subunit ribosomal RNA", at positions 362 to 758 of the family's 1533-position model. The record is from RNAcentral.